Molecule: long non-coding RNA, 815 nt
Organism: Humulus lupulus (European hop)
Lineage: Eukaryota; Viridiplantae; Streptophyta; Magnoliopsida; Rosales; Cannabaceae
Exons: 4
Source: RefSeq, a predicted model, not a curated record
AAUUAUAUUUUGGGCAUAAAAUACAUUCAUAAAAGUUAAGGUUUGGUCAAAAAUAAUAAACCUAAAAGAAAAUGGAAAUUUUAGGGCAUUUUGUGUUAAAUGCCUAAUUUUGCCGAAAUGGGGAAUUUUAUUCCAUGAAUGGACCUUAGGUUAAAUUUUAUUAUGUGAUUAAUUAAAUUAAAUGUGAGAGACAUUUAAUUUAAUUAAUUAAUGUUAAGUUUGGUGAUUAAAACUUAAUAAGAGUGAAAAAAGGUGUCAAAAGUCAAUUUGGACUUUUCUUCUUAUAAACCUUUAUAAAAAAUAAAAAAAAUAAAAAAUAAAAUUAAUGGUCACAUAUAUGGAAAAGGGUGGCUGGCCAUGUGCUAUUUUAGAGUGGUGUGAACCCAAUUUUAUAAAAUUCAAAUCCCAUUUAAUUAAGAAGUCAAGUGGGCAAGUGGGUAGAAAAGCACUCAAGUGUUUUGUGAUAUUUUGAAGAGUUGUGUGAGCCAUUCUAACCCCCAAAUCCGACCACUCUCCCUCCCUCAUUCACUCUCAUCUGAUUUUUGAAGACUCUCUCAAGUGUUCUCUCCAUUUUGAACCCCAAGAACACCAAAGAAACUUGGAAGCUAAGUCUUGGUCUAGGAAGGGUUUUCCCUAAGUUGGUUAGGGUUUUUGAAAGGUUUUGAAGGAGUCAAAGCUUAUAGGAAGGUCCAAACCUUAAGCAAGAACACCAAAGAGUAUUGGCUAAGCGUAACUGGACUGAACGUUGGAGGGUGAAAACCUGCUGAGCGCUAAGGACUCCAAGUCAGUGCAAGGGCAAGGCAGAGCAGUGAGCG